This 2845-nucleotide long non-coding RNA is filed under the name Trifolium pratense (red clover). RNAcentral's name for it is "long non-coding RNA (TPRA_LNC000642)". The record is from RNAcentral. Lineage: Eukaryota; Viridiplantae; Streptophyta; Magnoliopsida; Fabales; Fabaceae.
AGCAGCACUUUUGCACAAUGAUAUUCUCUUCUUUCCUUUUUCACAUUUAUUUAUGCACCAUUUUCUUCUCCCAGUUCUAACUAACUUCACUCAUUUUCUUAAUUUUUGUUUUCGAACCAGAAUUGUUUUUGUUGACGGAACCACCUUGCCGGACUUCUCCUUCCGCCGUGUUCUUCUUCUUUUCUAAUGGUAAGUCGCUUAUUAUUCCAUUAUUUUGCUCAGUUCAUGCUUCGAAAUUAAAAAUCCCUAAUUAUUAUUUUUUGAAAACCCUAAAUCCAACAAUACACCAUUUUCAGAUCGAUUGGAUUGAUGUUUGUUGAAAAUUAUCACAUUGCCAGGUUUGUGUCUCAAAAUCAAUAUAGACAAAAAAUAAUAAUUAGUGUAGGUAUAGUUCUUGCAAGAUGAAGAAAAUUAACAAUCUAAUAGAAGAUUUAUGAUGAAAUUACAUAUAUUCAUAUCAAUGAAUAAAUUUGAAAUUAGGGUAAAUAGAAGGAGCGGCUAUUCAUGGCAAUUAGGGUGCUCAUGGUUUUGGAUCCACACACUUGAAGAAAAGAGCAGCUGGUAGCUGUUAAUCUGCCGCGGUUAUGCCAAAUUGCUCCAAAUUCAAAAUCUGCGGUGUGUUAAAUUGCGGCUUCGAUAACCAGCUUAGAUUAAAUGCUAGCUUUGGCAAUACAUGAAGCACGGAAACAGUGGACACAUACAUUGACACACCGGCACCGAUAAUAAUUAGAGUAACUGACAUAAUUCAAUGUAAUCAUAUGUGUCGGUGUCAGAUAUUGACAGGUGUGGAUCCUCUUCCAUGAAAAGUGUCUACAAUUUAAUCUCAACCACACAUUAUUUUUUUGUAGUUGGUUAUGUAAUAAAAAAAACAUUGAAUGGUGAGGAUAAAAUACACACUGGACCCUUGCAGUGAAAUCCUUACUGGAGAGGAUCCCGGCCCGAUAUCGACACGUGUCCGAUAUUGGGAGAUGCCUAAUCUGAUGAGUGUCAGUGCUUCACAGGUGGCGGUGAAAUGACUUUUGUGGCGGUCAAGUAGAUCGAAAACUUACCUAGUGUAUUGUAACUUUUCCACUUGAGGGGAUGCUUACUACCUUGUUUUCCCAUCUAUUUAGGAUAUUCUAGGAUUGUGUUUUAAGAUUGUUUGUAUUAGAAAUUUCUUAUCCUCCAGUUUUCUAACUGGCGUGGAAGAUUCUCUUGAUGGGAUGCUUUUUUUGCUUUGGUUUUCAUGUGGUUGCCAUGUUUGGGUUUCAAGAUGAGUCACACAACCUUUGUCUAGAACCAUAAUCGGGAAUAUCUUUCUUUACAUUCUUUUUAUCGUUAAGGAGGGUAUACAUGUACAUAUUUAUAUCUUCACUGUUUUAAUUGAUACCUUGCGUAAAAAAGGGAAUGCUAUUAGAAGCUUAAGAUGGUUCAUAUAAAAAAUAAUCUCAAGGUGUGUUUAAUAAAAUGAAGAACCUAUUUAUUUUUGGUUCAUAUUUUCUCUUGAAGUUUUAAAAAAUAUAUAAACAGGUAAUAAACUCCCCUGUUUUGCAUAUUGUUCAUUUCCCAAAAUACUCUAGCAGACAAAACUGAUUUAUCUGAAGGUUGUUGAUUCAUUGGCUUUAUUUGGUGAGGUUUCUUGUAUGUAGCUCCCUUCUUUGUUUCACUGUCUUAAAUGUUAUCCCAUCUAUAGAAUUUAAAUGAGUUAUAUGAUUCCUGUCAUUAUGAACUGAGUUUGAAAAAUGUGCACCAAUCAGUCAUUGACUGUCUAAGCUAUUAAUUUCUUCAUUUUUCUUUACAAUCAUCCGAUGUCUUUAGAGGGAACCUUUUUUUAUUGUCUGUUGUGUGGUCAUCUUGUCACAGGGUCUCAUGUCAAAGUUUGUGAAUUUAACUGCCCACAAUUGAAUGUCGCAAUGGAGGUUUGGCACUUAUGAUCAUUCUGGUCAUCAUGUCAUCGAAGAAUUAUAUGCAACGAGUUAAGAUUGUAGAAGGAGAGGGAGUCAGUACCUCUUUUUCCAGGCCUGUUCGGGCAUANNNNNNNNNNNNNNNNNNNNNNNNNNNNNNNNNNNNNNNNNNNNNNNNNNNNNNNNNNNNNCCGUGUGAUGGUAAACCUUCCUGCACGGUUCAGAGAGCACUGAAUUAGAAUAAGAGGUUCACCAUCACAUCAUUGCAUGCAAGGGGAGCUCGGUCGAUUUGAAAAUAGGUCCGACUCGUAAUUCAUGUCUUAAAUUAACAUUCAUAAUCCCCUUAAAUUUUUCACAGCUCAUUUGGAAUGCAUGAAAGGAGCAAUGUUUUCAACCAGAUGUUGUAGCAACGCCAUAGCAUAGCAGAAUUUUGACAAAUCGCUAUUGUUCAGCCAUAUAUAGUAUGAAGUUUUGUCAAAUUGCAGCUAUAGCAGCUAUAGCAGAAUUUAAACAAACCACUAUUUUCCGUGAUCAAAGAUUGACAGCAUUAUCUUUGAAUGAUUUCACAAAAAUUUAAGUUCCAUUCCCUUUUGGUUGGUGACAAUUGUUUACUUCAUUCAUUUUCUUGUAUUAUUGGCAGGAACUUGCUUUCAUGAAUUUUAUCUGGAAACCUUAUCAAGAACGUGAUAUACAUCUUCGAAGCAAGGAUUGCCAAGUAAGCUUCAUGUUGUAUUCAGGGGUUUUAUUAUUAUAAUAAUAGUUAGAAUAUAGUUGAAGUUGAAUUAAACAAGUUACUUUGUUAGAAUAGUUUGCUGAGUCAGUUAGUUGAUCACUUGAUAUGUAAGAUUUUAAUUCAAUAGAUUGAUUAUAGUUAGAAGAGUAGCCUUUUUGAAUUAAACAAGUUACUUUGUUAGAAUAGUUUGCUGAGUCAGUUAGUUGAUCACUUGAUAUGUAAGAUUUUA